This 502-nucleotide ribosomal RNA is filed under the name Staphylococcus aureus. RNAcentral describes it as "partial 23S ribosomal RNA". It matches the Rfam family "Bacterial large subunit ribosomal RNA", at positions 2401 to 2904 of the family's 2925-position model. Lineage: Bacteria; Bacillati; Bacillota; Bacilli; Caryophanales; Staphylococcaceae. The record is from RNAcentral.
GAAAGACGGACUUAGUGAUCCGGUGGUUCCGCAUGGAAGGGCCAUCGCUCAACGGAUAAAAGCUACCCCGGGGAUAACAGGCUUAUCUCCCCCAAGAGUUCACAUCGACGGGGAGGUUUGGCACCUCGAUGUCGGCUCAUCGCAUCCUGGGGCUGUAGUCGGUCCCAAGGGUUGGGCUGUUCGCCCAUUAAAGCGGUACGCGAGCUGGGUUCAGAACGUCGUGAGACAGUUCGGUCCCUAUCCGUCGUGGGCGUAGGAAAUUUGAGAGGAGCUGUCCUUAGUACGAGAGGACCGGGAUGGACAUACCUCUGGUGUACCAGUUGUCGUGCCAACGGCAUAGCUGGGUAGCUAUGUGUGGACGGGAUAAGUGCUGAAAGCAUCUAAGCAUGAAGCCCCCCUCAAGAUGAGAUUUCCCAACUUCGGUUAUAAGAUCCCUCAAAGAUGAUGAGGUUAAUAGGUUCGAGGUGGAAGCAUGGUGACAUGUGGAGCUGACGAAUACUAA